UCUGGACGGUGCAGGGUUUCAGA
RNAcentral lists this non-coding RNA (23 nucleotides) under Cricetulus griseus (Chinese hamster). Lineage: Eukaryota; Metazoa; Chordata; Mammalia; Rodentia; Cricetidae. The record is from RNAcentral.